This is a long non-coding RNA of Sceloporus undulatus (fence lizard), 669 nucleotides long. RefSeq lists it as uncharacterized. The record is from RefSeq and is a predicted model, not a curated record. The transcript is spliced from 3 exons. NCBI's taxonomy places the organism in Eukaryota, Metazoa, Chordata, Lepidosauria, Squamata, Phrynosomatidae.
CCAUGAACAGGGUGACCAGAUGUCCUAACCACAAAAGAAGACAAAGCACCACAAAAUAUUGCCUCUCCUUUACUGAUUCAUGUGUGGAUCCCAGCAGAAGUCUCAGGAUUAAGACCUUCACAAUUCAGUUUUCUUAAACAACUGCAGAAGCUCUGUGAUUUUUGUCUUCAUCUGGAUGCAAAGACAACCACCCUCUUCCAGGCUUCUCUUACUACUUGCUGGUUGACAGUCUAUUAACCUUUGAAUUAAACUAUCUACUGGACUCUGAUUAAAAUCUAAAGCUCAUGCAUUGGCAAGUAAAAACUGGCUGAUGGGGGAAGUUCACUGAGCUCCGACUCCUGUUUGACAAGGAAGAAACCUUAACUAAACAAGACAUCGAUGUAAAGGUCCAGCAGACUCUAAGGGCAUAUGAAGAGCAGACAGAGGCUUGCAAGGGACAAGUGAGGACCAUAGACAGUUUUGUAGACAGGAUCAGACAAAUCCAACUUCAGCCUGACCCGUUCCAAUUGCUGAAGGUAGGCCUGUGUUCUUCUUCUCCCUGUUAUGUAGUGAAAGAGGAAGAUGUGCCCUACUGGAGGUGCCCACACUCUCAAAGUCUGUCUGAGAAUGUAUCUCCUCAUAUAAACCUACAAAAAACCUUCAAGCUAGUAAAAUGUAGAGUAGACAAUG